ACGGAAGGCAGCAGUGGGGAAUAUUGCACAAUGGGCGCAAGCCUGAUGCAGCGAUGCCGCGUGAGGGAAGAAGGUUUUCGGAUUGUAAACCUCUGUCAGCAGGGACGAAGAAGACGGUACCUGUGAAGGAAGCUCCGGCUAACUACGUGCCAGCAGCCGCGGUAAUACGUAGGGAGCAAGCGUUAUCCGGAAUUACUGGGUGUAAAGGGUGUGUAGGCGGGAUUGCAAGUCGGAUGUGAAAACUAUGGGCUUAACUCAUAGCCUGCAUUUGAAACUGUAGUUCUUGAGGGUCGGAGGGGUUACUGGAAUUCCCGGUGUAGCGGUGAAGUGCGUAGAUAUCGGGAGGAACACCGGUGGCGAAGGCGAGUAACUGGACGAUACCUGACGCUGAGACACGAAAGUGUGGGGAGCAAACAGGAUUAGAUACCCUGGUA
Molecule: ribosomal RNA, 434 nt
Filed under: uncultured Ruminococcus sp.
Lineage: Bacteria; Bacillati; Bacillota; Clostridia; Eubacteriales; Oscillospiraceae
Description: partial 16S ribosomal RNA
Rfam family: Bacterial small subunit ribosomal RNA
Source: RNAcentral